This 1866-nucleotide long non-coding RNA is filed under the name Capsicum annuum. Its description in RNAcentral is "long non-coding RNA (CANN_LNC018118)". The record is from RNAcentral. Lineage: Eukaryota; Viridiplantae; Streptophyta; Magnoliopsida; Solanales; Solanaceae.
AUUCCUGACAUAAUUGAUGAUGAUCUUGACAAACUGGUCGAACAAAUGCACGAUGAGUUUUCAUUGUUGGAGCCUCAUGUGAAAUUGAUGGUUAGAAUGGAGCAUGAGUUGACGUUCCACUCCGGAGAAGUCAUAAACUGUGUAAAGAAGUGGAAGGUCAGUUCCUAGAUUUACUUGCCAAUGCAAAAGACAUGCCAUUUUUCGCUUUUGGUCCAUUUCAUAUGUUGCUAGAAUUGUAUGAAUCUCUCUCUUCUUGGUCUAGCAACAUGAAUCGUGAUGAAUACCUUGAAUUUCUCGACAAGCAAGAUGUUAACUCAGUAAUAUUCAUCUCGUUUGGAUCGACUAAUACAUUAUCACAAGAGCACGUCAAUGAGCUAGCUCUGGGUUUGGAACAAAGCAACUAUAAAUUUAUUUGGGUACUAAGAAAAGGAGAUGUUAUGGGGAAACUUACAGGGAAAAUCCAAAAUCGGACAGAUUGAAAUACCAGAAGGGUUUGAAGAGAGAGUGGAAGGAAGAGGAAUGAUGGUAAAUUGGGCACCACAGUUGGAAAUCUUGAGGCAUUCAUCUACGGGUGUUUUUUUGAGUCAUUGUGAGAGGAAUUCAUGUAUCGAGAGCAUUAGCAUGGGAGUGCCUCUAGCAACUUGGCCAAUCAGUUAUGAUCAGCCAUCUAAAGCUAUAUAUGUAACCAAAUUGCUGAAGAUUGGAAUACCUGUCAGGAGUUGGGCUCAACGGGAGGAAUUGAUAACAGCAUCAACCAUUGAGAAAGCAGUGAAGACAUUGAUGGGCAUGGCAGAAGGAGAAAAGAUGAGGCAAAGGGCAGUGGAAUUGAGAAAAAUGAUCAAGAGCUCUGUUAGUCAUGGAGGACCUGCACGCAAGGAAAUGGAAUCAUUCACUUCAAAUAUUAUCAAAUAACCUCCUCUGUGUGUGUUGGGGGGAGGGAGUUGUCUUUUAUGAUAUUGUAGUAUUGUAUCCCUAAAAUCAGUGAAGGUAGGUUGCAUGUCCUUCCUGAUUUGUUGUCUCUAAGUUUCUAUUAUCCCCCCUCAGAAUAAACUUGAUAGAAAAAGCCUCUAGUCUUAUAUGGCUAAUAAGAGUGUAUCAGAUAUGUUCUACAUUUGAGAAUUUCUACUAGCUCUUUACUUCUCAUAAUCUUCAUAUCCUUAUAUUGAAAUUGGACAGUUUAAGAACAUCAUCUAGCGGGAUCAAUUCUGUGUUGGACUCAUUCCAAGAAGUUGGACAACCUAUUGAUCAAUUACGUCAUGUCCGAAGAGAUUUUUUGGUGGCUAGGGAACAAGGAGAUUGAUGAAUUAAAGACAUUAGAUAUCAUAUUAUGGAACUCAAGAAAUUCACCAAAAAAUUUUAGAAUUUUGGCGCAUGAGAUAGGUCCAAGAGAACUUGGUAUAGUCAUCCAUAAACAACACAUAAUAACGAUAACCAGAAUUGGACAUAGUAGGGGAUGUCCAAACAUCAGAGUAAAUUAAAAAGAAAGCUUUAUUUCUGGAUCGUGGAGUCAUAUAUGUUCCACUGCAUCUCAGCUUUUGCAAGAUACUCUAUGCUCCGACAAAGUAUUGAUGACAUAGUUGAUGAUAAUGAUCGUGACAAAAUGGUCCAGCAAAUGCUGUUAAGGACCAAUUGAAACAACGUUUGUAGAAAGGAACAUGAAUGGCAGAUCAACUCUUGAGAAAUCGUGAACACCUGUAGAGAAAUCAAAGGUAAGUACCUAGAUUUACAUGCACAUACAAAUGACAAGAAGCAAUGGUGGACUGUUGGUCCACUUCAUAUGCUGCUGCUAGAAUUACAUGACUCUAGCACCUGGAUGACGCAUGAAUGCGUAGGAUUUCUCGACAAGCAAGACACUAAUUCAGUAAU